GCAUCGAUGAAGAACGCAGCGAAAUGCGAUAAGUAAUGUGAAUUGCAGAAUUCAGUGAAUCAUCGAAUCUUUGAACGCACAUUGCGCCCCCUGGUAUUCCGGGGGGCAUGCCUGUUCGAGCGUCAUUUCACCACUCAAGCCUCGCUUGGUAUUGGGCGACGCGGUCCGCCGCGCGCCUCAAAUCGACCGGCUGGGUCUUUCGUCCCCUCAGCGUUGUGAAAACUAUUCGCUAAAGGGUGCCGCGGGAGGCCACGCCGUAAAACAACCCCAUUUCUAAGGUUGACCUCGGAUCAGGUAGGGAUACCCGCUGAACUUAAGCAUAUCAAUAAGCGGAGGA
Molecule: ribosomal RNA, 337 nt
Filed under: uncultured fungus
Lineage: Eukaryota; Fungi
Description: eukaryotic LSU rRNA
Rfam family: 5.8S ribosomal RNA (bases 1-125)
Source: RNAcentral